This 497-nucleotide ribosomal RNA is filed under the name uncultured bacterium. RNAcentral's name for it is "partial 16S ribosomal RNA". It matches the Rfam family "Bacterial small subunit ribosomal RNA", at positions 28 to 507 of the family's 1533-position model. The record is from RNAcentral.
GAUGAACGCUGGCGGCGUGCCUAAUACAUGCAAGUCGAGCGAACAGACGAGGAGCUUGCUCCUCUGACGUUAGCGGCGGACGGGUGAGUAACACGUGGAUAACCUACCUAUAAGACUGGGAUAACUUCGGGAAACCGGAGCUAAUACCGGAUAAUAUAUUGAACCGCAUGGUUCAAUAGUGAAAGACGGUUUUGCUGUCACUUAUAGAUGGAUCCGCGCCGCAUUAGCUAGUUGGUAAGGUAACGGCUUACCAAGGCGACGAUGCGUAGCCGACCUGAGAGGGUGAUCGGCCACACUGGAACUGAGAGACGGUCCAGACUCCUACGGGAGGCAGCAGUAGGGAAUCUUCCGCAAUGGGCGAAAGCCUGACGGAGCAACGCCGCGUGAGUGAUGAAGGUCUUCGGAUCGUAAAACUCUGUUAUUAGGGAAGAACAAAUGUGUAAGUAACUAUGCACGUCUUGACGGUACCUAAUCAGAAAGCCACGGCUAACUACGUG